RNAcentral lists this ribosomal RNA (459 nucleotides) under uncultured bacterium. RNAcentral's name for it is "partial 16S ribosomal RNA". It matches the Rfam family "Bacterial small subunit ribosomal RNA", at positions 338 to 794 of the family's 1533-position model. The record is from RNAcentral.
CCUACGGGAGGCAGCAGUGAGGCAUAUUGGUCAAUGGACGAGAGUCUGAACCAGCCAAGUAGCGUGAAGGAUGACUGCCCUAUGGGUUGUAAACUUCUUUUAUAAAGGAAUAAAACGAGGCACGUGUGCCUUUUUGCAUGUACUUUAUGAAUAAGGAUCGGCUAACUCCGUGCCAGCAGCCGCGGUAAUACGGAGGAUCCGAGCGUUAUCCGGAUUUAUUGGGUUUAAAGGGAGCGUAGAUGGGUUGUUAAGUCAGUUGUGAAAGUUUGCGGCUCAACCGUAAAAUUGCAAUUGAUACUGGCAGUCGUGAGUACAGUUGAGGUAGGCGGAAUUCGUGGUGUAGCGGUGAAAUGCUUAGAUAUCACGAAGAACCCCGAUUGCGAAGGCAGCUUACUAAACUGUGACUGACAUUGAUGCUCGAAAGUGUGGGUAUCAAACAGGAUUAGAUACCCGAGUAGC